UCGGACCAGGCUUCAUUCC
Molecule: non-coding RNA, 19 nt
Filed under: Arabidopsis thaliana (thale cress)
Lineage: Eukaryota; Viridiplantae; Streptophyta; Magnoliopsida; Brassicales; Brassicaceae
Also listed under: 6 other names
Source: RNAcentral